This is a long non-coding RNA of Zea mays, 1611 nucleotides long. RefSeq lists it as uncharacterized. The transcript has 2 exons. NCBI's taxonomy places the organism in Eukaryota, Viridiplantae, Streptophyta, Magnoliopsida, Poales, Poaceae. The record is from RefSeq and is a predicted model, not a curated record.
UUCAGUGCCUUAGGUCUGAGUUCAGUGGAGUUUUCUCCCUGCCCUCGAGUCUGACCCGUGUUCAUCGCUUGAGGGACAUAGCUCUUGAGUUCAAGUCGGUGUAAACCCACUCCACAGCCACCCAGCAUGAUGUAUUUUGUGCAUCGCGUGCCAAUGGCGACCACAGCAGCAGUUCUCACCCUCACCGUGGACAUGAUUCCUCGGAGGUUGUCUCGGCCGUGUGGUGCUUGUUCCUUACUCCUCGCAGAGUACCAAGAAGAAGAUCCUAAAGAGAAGUCUACUCAGUGCUAUUGAUCCAGUGGUGGAUUCCAUCUAACUGCUUAUCGUGUUAGAAGAUCUCAGAUCUCCUCCUGUAAUAAGGCAAGCCCCGGUGCAUUUGCCCCUUCCUUGUGUUUUAAAUGUUUUAUCACCUGAUAUGAUGCAUUAGGUUGAUAGGAGUUGUGUGGUAAACAAUUGAUGCAUUACCAUUCCUUGGAAAUUCCUAAAUCCCUGUUUUAUAAAAAGAAUUAUUACUGCUUAGUCCUGCUUAGAAACUGAAAAAUCAUUUGUUUUAAAAAAGAAUGAUUGUGGAACAUUCGUUAUGGGCUUUUUCAUUCAAAAAUCAAAGCAAACUAAGGUGAUGACUCCACUUCGGCCGGAGUGGGCUCAUCAUUGGAAAAGAGUACCCCUGUCGGGUACCAAAAAUGGGAAAAUGGUUAAUAAAUCUAGACCAGGCGCUGAGCAGACAAGGUCGCCCGUCUGUGUCGGUUAAGGACCGUACCGUUGACUGGCCUGUUGUGGUUGAGACUUUGCAACUAGCCACAUACCCUGGUAUGGGACAGGGUAAGCUUGAACCCGGCUAUUCCAUACGUGAAGAGACAAUCGCGCACUGGGAGUGGAGAGAUGGCGGGAGUAGCAUGUACCCUCCUGGCAUAGUAGCACGCCUGGUAGGGUAAUGUGCUCUCGGGUGGCGCGGACCUGUUCAUGUAGUGGAGGACUCCGUGGGAACGGUUGACAUAUGCAAGGGUUGAGUGCUACAUAUGUCGUGUGGUUAGAGAUCCCCAGCUGGGUAUAAUCGGUUCGAAUCGUCGUUGCUCCUCGGUUAUGGAGACUCAUCCCGGUGACCAUCAUCGUAGUUAGCAAGUGAAAUAUGAGAAUGAAUAAAAUGCGACUAGUAUAGGCCAAGUGCUUGAACUAGACCAGGCAAAUAUAGAUUCAGGUAAUAACCUAACUAGUGAAAUAAAAUUUGGCUUAAGGAUCAACUGGUAGCAAGCUUUUUCUGCAAAAAGGAGUCUUUGAUCAUUGAUAAACUUUACCUUGAUUCCCAAUCAGCUAGCAUACCCUUGAGAGUCUUUUCUUUAGUCGGGUAAGUCUUGCUGAGUAAUUGCGUACUCAGGGUUUUAUCCCCUGUUGUUUUUGCAGGAGAAGUUUUAUUCCCUUAUCUUUUGGUUAGUUACUUCAUGUGGAGGCCUUGAAGCUUAGAAUGUUAUGUGUAUCUCUUAUGGAAAGGCUUCACCCUUCCAAUUAUUAAAAUAAGUUAUGCACUUUGGGUACUAUCAGGACUUGUAAUAAUUACCAUUCUUCUUAUGUUGUAAAACUUGAGCUUUGGAAAUGUAAAAUAUGUUUUGUAAA